This is a long non-coding RNA of Raphanus sativus (radish), 587 nucleotides long. RefSeq lists it as uncharacterized. The transcript has 2 exons. The record is from RefSeq and is a predicted model, not a curated record. Lineage: Eukaryota; Viridiplantae; Streptophyta; Magnoliopsida; Brassicales; Brassicaceae.
CCUUUUUAUUAUUAAACCAUUUUUUCUUUGUAAUGAAAUAUGUAAGUCCGCUCCAUGUAAUAAAUCUUCAAUCUAAUGUAAUAAAACCCGAAAAUAUUUGCGGACAUGGUUACGGGCUUACAUAAGGUUUUGGGCUUUAAUGGGCCUUUUUGGGCCUAUGCAUUAGUAGAGCCCAUAAAAUAAAGUAUCUAGGGGUUUGAUGCAUAUAAAACAGUUAGCUGACCAUCAAUAUCUAUUUAGCUAACUCCGCCGCUUCUUUCUCAUUUUCUUAGAUCUAAAACAUCGAUCAGAGGAGUGAAGGGUUGGAUCUUCAGCGAAAGACAACAUGAGAGCUAAGUGGAAGAAGAAGCGUAUGAGGAGGUUGAAGAGGAAGAGACGAAAGAUGAGACAGCGAUCUAAGUAGAUUCGGAACCCGUUUUGUCUCUUUUUAUUUUAGUUCUAAACCGACAUUUGUGAGAGUUUUGUUGGUUUUUCUAUCUGAAUUUGAAUGUUUUUGUUGGACCAUUCUAUCUUUUCAGUCUGAAUACUUGUGUUUUACUACAUGAAAGAAUCCACGACUGGGUUCUCGAUUUAUCCCUUUUAUUAUC